Molecule: transfer RNA, 64 nt
Filed under: Tephritis femoralis
Lineage: Eukaryota; Metazoa; Arthropoda; Insecta; Diptera; Tephritidae
Description: tRNA-Arg
Source: RNAcentral
AUAUGAAGCGAUUAAUUGCAUUUAGUUUCGACCUAAUUUUAAGUAAUUUUUAUAUUACUCUUAU